RNAcentral lists this ribosomal RNA (398 nucleotides) under Pelagostrobilidium paraepacrum. RNAcentral's name for it is "partial small subunit ribosomal RNA". It matches the Rfam family "Eukaryotic small subunit ribosomal RNA", at positions 30 to 432 of the family's 1831-position model. Lineage: Eukaryota; Ciliophora; Spirotrichea; Choreotrichida; Strobilidiidae. The record is from RNAcentral.
GCUUGUCUCAAAGAUUAAGCCAUGCAUGUCUAAGUAUAAAUGGUAUACAGUGAAACUGCGAAUGGCUCAUUAAAACAGUUAUAGUUUAUUUGGUAAUCGAAUUUACAUGGAUAACCGUGGUAAUUCUAGAGCUAAUACAUGCUGUAAAGCCCGACUUUUCGGAAGGGCCGUAUUUAUUAGAUAACAGACCAAUAUUCCUCGUGUCUAUUGUGGUGAAUCAUAGUAACUGAUCGAAUCGCAAAGCCUUUGGCUGCGAUAUGUCAUUCAAGUUUCUGCCCCAUCAGCUUUCGAUGGUAGUGUAUUGGACUACCAUGGCUUUUACGGGUAACGGAGAAUUAGGGUUCGAUUCCGGAGAGGGAGCCUGAGAAACGGCUACCACAUCUAAGGAAGGCAGCAGG